Molecule: ribosomal RNA, 331 nt
Filed under: uncultured bacterium
Lineage: Bacteria
Description: bacterial SSU rRNA
Rfam family: Bacterial small subunit ribosomal RNA
Source: RNAcentral
AGGGUUCGAUUCUGGCUCAGGACGAACGCUGGCGGCGCGCCUAACACAUGCAAGUCGAACGAGCGAGAGAGAGCUUGCUUUCUCGAGCGAGUGGCGAACGGGUGAGUAACGCGUGAGGAACCUGCCUCAAAGAGGGGGACAACAGUUGGAAACGACUGCUAAUACCGCAUAAGCCCACGGCUCGGCAUCGAGCAGAGGGAAAAGGAGCAAUCCGCUUUGAGAUGGCCUCGCGUCCGAUUAGCUAGUUGGUGAGGUAACGGCCCACCAAGGCAACGAUCGGUAGCCGGACUGAGAGGUUGAACGGCCACAUUGGGACUGAGACACGGCCCAG